This 6046-nucleotide long non-coding RNA is filed under the name Salmo salar (Atlantic salmon). RNAcentral describes it as "lncRNA (ENSSSAG00000102806.1)". Lineage: Eukaryota; Metazoa; Chordata; Actinopteri; Salmoniformes; Salmonidae. The record is from RNAcentral.
GAUCAUAUAAUGACAGGUUAUGACAAGUUGUGUCAGCUGUUAUGACAUAUUAUGUAAUGGUUAAGACCGUGUCAUAAAGUGCUAUGAUGCUGGAUGUCAAGUAAAGUGUUACCCAAAUUGUACUGGGUCUAGGGUGUCAGGUACUUACUGACUUUAUUGUCCCCAUGGGGAAAUUUUGUUGCAGUGUCAUGUACACAUUUAAAGUGGCUUUAAAUACAAAACAAACUGACAAUGCAACUUUCAUAACAGUUACAUACCAAUAAAAAGAUACUAGCCUGCUGGUCGGUAGGAACAUUAGCCUGAGCUAUUUAGGAGGGAUAUCACACCUGGCACAAAUUAUUGUCUAGUUCUGUUUUUCCUGCAGAGGGGUGCCCUAUACCUGCGCCCAGAGGUGAGUAGUUCAAAGUCCGGUUACAGGGGGUGGCUUGGGUCUAAAAUGUUUUUGCCUUGCGGUGGGCCCUGACCUUAAAGAUCUCAUCCAGGCCUGUCUGUUUGACUCCAAGUACCUUGCUUGCUGUGGUGAUAAUCCUUCUCAGCAUAUUUCUCUGGCUGACAGUGGUAUUGCCAAACCAACAAACAAUACAAAAAGUUAAAAUACUCUCAAUGAAAGAUUUGUAAAACAGAGUCAGUAUGGUACAGUCAACAUUAAAAGAUCCCAGCUUUUUGAGAAAGUACAGUCUCUGUUGACUCUUUUUGUAGAUCAGAUCUGUACAUUUACACCACUGAAACUUGUCCAAGGGGACACCCAGAUAUUUGUAUUCCCCUACAAUCUCUAUGUUCUGACCUCUGAUAGAUGUUGCAGAGGUAGGUGUUGUACGCUUUCUGAAAUCUAUGCACAUCUCUUUGGUAUUAGUGGUAUUGAAGACAAAGUGUGAUUCGUCACAACACUCUACAAAGUCAUUUAGGACCCGGCCAUGGUGUUCCUCGUUAUCAUGCAACAGGCUGAUCAAGGCAGUGUCAUCAGCAAACUUAACGAGGUGUCUGUCAGGAUGGGAACUAGUACAACUAUUAGUGUACAAGAUGUACAGGAGUGGGGACAAAACAGAUCCCUGAGGAGAGCCUGAGUUGGUGCGCAUGUCUGCCACGUGGGGACCUACUUUGACCCGCUGUGAUCGCUGGCUCAGGAUGUCCAACAACCACAAGUCCAUCUAAGGAGAAGUCCUAAAUGAGUCUCUGUGCCAGAAUGUAAGGCUGGAUUGUGUUGAAGGCAGAAGAAGGUGGAGGUGAUAUGAUCCAUAACUAACCUCUCAAAGCACUUCAUGAUGACAGAAGUGAGUCCUUGUGUUUUAAACUGUGAUUUUGUCUAUUAAGAGAGCGUGGCCAGUUUUAUGAUCGUAACACUUUAGUCUGUUAAGACCUUUCAUAUUGAUUGAAUAUUGUGUUGUUUGCUGUGUUGCACUGAAAAUAAGUUUGCUGUAAUUACACUUAAUAUUUGUUGUGUUUUGUUUACAGGCCUUUGUAGAACUGUACAAAUUCAAGUUGUAAUAAAAUCUAUAAAUGUUGUGAUAAUCCUGUGUUGCUUCCAUACCAGUAUCCAGUUGAGGUAUUUAUGACCCAGGCCUAUCCUAGAACAUGUUUGUUAUAAAUCUACCAAUAGUAGGCCUAUAUCUGCUCUUUUACUUGUAGCGUACAUUGGACUUUCAAGUGGAGUUGAUUGCCUUAAGGACAUAAGCAGGGUUUGGGUCAAUACCAAUUUAAUUUGAAAUUCCAAUUCAAUUCUUGAAUUCACUCAUAAAGUGGAGAAUUUACAUUGAAUUCAAUUUGAAUUCCAACAAUCUUCAAGUUAUGGAAUUGGAAUUGGAUUUAGACUAUUUGCACUGAUGGAACUGGAAUUAUAAAAACAUUUGAUCUUUGGAAUUGAAUUGGAUUUCAAGUCAAUAUUUGUAAAUUUCCCAGUUAAUGGAAUUAAUGCACUUAGUAUCAAACAUUUACUGAAGGAGGUGUUUUAAAUAAUGUAUAUUUCCAUUACAGUAAGACUGUCUGAACAGUGACAUAAUCAGCCUGAAAGCCUGAGGGAAUUUAAGUUGUGGAAUUGUUUUGGAUAAUAUUUAAUUGUGAAUUGAAUUAUUGAAAUGUAGUUACCUUGGAAUUGAGAGGGAUUAAAUUAUCUCUGAAUUCAAAGGCUGACCUGGAAUUUGAAUUGAAUUUCAUGGAAUUCACAGAGGGAAUUGAACUAGAAUUGAAUUAGUGGAAUUAACCCCAACCCUUGAUAUAGCUGACAUUUAGGUGUUAGUAUUUAAUCAAUUAAUGAUCAAUAACAGAUAAUCUUCAUUACAUGAAUUAAUGUGUAAUUGCAGUUUUAGCACAAAACGUGAAAAUCAGGAUGAGUCUCUGUCCUUUAAUUAAUAUGCUAUCAAAACUUGCUUCGUGACCCAUAUUUCUACAAGCAUUACCCUAAUAUAAUCAUAUGUAUCUGUUAUCCCUUUGACUCCUAGUCAACCAAACAAUUUCACUGUAAAACUUCCAGCAACUUCAACUUCAACCAGGUAGCCAGGCGGUUAAGCGCGUUGGAACAGUAAACGAAAGGUAGCUGGUGGAAAAAUCUGCAUUUCCGCGCUUGAGCAAGGCAUUAACCCCAAACAUCUGUUCCCAGGACCCCCGAUGACUUGGACGUCGAUAAAGCGUCGAGUUCGAAUUAAUACAAUGCAUCACGUCCCCUAAUUUAGAUGUCAGAUGAUGAGCUAUGCAUGUACCAUGCGAAGGGCCUCGAGCAGUCGAGAACAGCUACAACAUUUGGCAUUUCGUAGAGUGAACAAACCUCCGCUGCUACUGCUCUUGGAUGCAGCCCCGUUGAGAACCUGCGUGUUGCUUAGCAACAAUGUGACACGGUAGUUUACGCAACCAUUCAAGGCGGAAUAGAAUCUUAUGGGACAUUAUUGUAUUUUAUGUAGCUGCUAGCUAGCUAGUCAGAAAAUAAACUUUGUUGAACAUUUCGCAGGAUAUAUUGUUGACGGUAAAAGUAGCUGUGGUAGCUACAGUAGCGUCUGAGGACGUUAACAUGUAAAAAAGAAAAGAAAAAGAAAACGAGGAUAUAUCCAUUCUGGGAACAAGUAAAUUUAUAGCCAACUUAACUCUCUCCAGUCCAGGCUAAAUUAAUCACGCUUUUACCUUCCUUUAUGCCACAUGACACACACCUAGCCAGCUAAAAUGACAUUUUGCCAUUAGUUUACACAGUGGCAAGAUGUAGUAGGUACCAAAUAAGUGAUUUAAUUUCACUAACAUACUGCUACUGCCUUAAAUUGAACCACUUAGAUUUCCAUCCAGGGAAGGGGGGCCUAGUUUACUAGGUUUUAAUUAUAUUUUGCACGAAAUACCCCUCCCCACGCACACAUACCUGAACACUUGAAAAGCAGUUGAAACAGAACAGAGAUAGGUGGUAGCAUUUUUCUACUAUGGUUAUACUCAUCACACGUUGACUUGCACCCAGACAAUGAGACAGGUUGGCACAACACCACCGGUGUAAUGUACCGUAUCAAAUUACAGACCAUGACAAAAGGUCCAGGAACUCCACAAUACUUCUGAGCUAAUAUUCUGCGGUGCAUCCCAACAAGUAGAUCAUUUGAUGUGUCAAUACUCAGUUCCGAUCAGGCAGAUCUUCAAGCAGUGUGCCCCAGCAGACGUCACAGUUGUGCCCUGGUUAACACCCCCUCACUGUGUGCCAACAAAGCUGUUUGCCAUAUUCAGGAGCUGAAGAGGCAACUGGAGAACUGGUGUCAACAGUCAGGAAAUGUUCAGCAUCAGAUGUCUCAUGAAAAACAGCAAAAUAGCAAAACUUUUAGAUUUCAUUCCAGUGAAUCCAAGUCUUCAAUUAUGUCUACAGAGUUAUACAUUGAAGACAUUGGGCUAAGUGCAUGAACCGAAAGAAAAGCUGAUCGCCAGGAUGCAGAGGAAGCUCUACAAACAGAGAAGAAGAGGAGGUGAACUUUUGGGAGAAAAAUGAAUACUAUUUCACUGUGGAAGCAGCCGUCCAGAAAGAUUGUAGAGUUGAAAAUAUGAAUCGAGGUAGAAGGUAGAACAUUUUCACAAUUAAAGGAAGGGAUUUCAGAGCUGCAGAAAGAAGUCCAUGCAACUAGACUUGCAGGUGAAGUGGCAGUCUCUCACACCGAGGAGGUGUUCCGUAAAAGAAACAUCAGGAUACCUUGAAUCUUCAUGAGGAAAACAAAGAGUAUGAACUGGAGAUUGAGGACUACAGCAAAAAUAUCUAUGAGAGCGAAGCAGCUUCAGAGGAGCAGGAAGCACAUGCAGCAGAAGUUCAGUGUGAACGAGGACCAGAGACAGAGGCUAAGGAGGAGCUGUCCCAGAUGGCUAUGUUGCACGCCAAGGUCAACUUGGAGGAGCUGGAGCAGAAGACCUUCAUGGUGGAGCAGAGGAUGAGAUAUCUCCUCAGAAAGUGACUGAGAAUCUGAAGAAAGACGAGCGAGUUGAAAGCCCUGGCCAUUCUGAAGGAUAAAAUAACAACUAUUGAAGCAGAAUUACACCAGGAGCAAACCAACACAGAAAACGCCAGAUGGGAACUUCAUAAGGAAUUUGAGGAGGCGUUAUCAGCUACAAAACAACUGGAAAUUGAAACGGAAAAACUGAGAAAGAUUUACAAUGAUAAAUCUGAAGGAAUUACAUCAAGCUGUUACCGAAGGGUUUAACCAUGCCUUGAGUAGAAUCAUCGCAGACCUCUGUGCUAAGUCCAAAGAGUACAGAACAGGGUCUGACAUGGAGAAAACCACAGCCGCUAUGCCAGAUGUCAUUGAAGAACUACAGUUCGUCUUUGAUGCCGUGGAGUUCCAAAACCAAACAGCUAUGUUGAUCAUGAACACCUUGGAACGUGAUAUCACCAACUGUCAACAACGGAUGGAGCCAACAGUGGAAACUCAUACUACUCUGUUCGCAACCAGACAGCAGAAAAAACCAAGCUUUCUUUGUUGCAGAAGAGGAUGCACAGAGCUGUGGUGAAAUACUUCAGACAACGCAGCCUCUACAGCCUGGAUGAACUGGCCCGCUUCCAGAACCUCUCUAACGAGAACAACCAGAAAAUAAUAACCAUCCAGGAGGAGUUGUCAGAAGCAAUCCAGCGCAUCUCUGCUUUCCUGUAGUCAGUGGCAGAUGACUCAACUACAGCAACAGUGAUCAUGCUGCGACAAUAGAGACAGCAGCAGAGAACAAACAAGCGGGUCCGGAUGCCAUUGGAUUGAACAAGAAGAAGAUGCCUACAGUUCAGAUAACAGCGUAAUUGGACAUUCACCUGGUCCCAGACAACUUACUUACCCCUGUACGCUUCACUAACUCACUAUGCCCCCUCUCUCUCUCUUACCAGCAGCAGAUCCAUAACAAUGAAACAGGUGACUUUCAUGCUGCUGUCAGGACUGAUCUAAUUUUAGCUGGGUGAAUGAUUGCAAUUGGCUUUGCCUCAUCAGAUAAUUAAUCUAUGUCACCAUUAAUUGGAAAAGAGAAUAAUUACAGGCAGUGUUGACAGAAACUCUACGCUUCUCCAGAUUUCGAGAUCUAAUUACGACUACUAAAACCCUCCGUGACCUUAACUAGCACUUAGUACAUCACCUCGACCACCCUGACCAAUGCCGAAGCAAAACAACUUCCUCUCGGUAGACAUUAAGCCCUGUUUUUGUUGUUUAAUUUUUUUUCUCCCUCUCUCUUUUCUCUCUCACUGUGCUCUCCUAGAAAGCUGUCUCCCUCAAUCACUUUUCAAUGUUCAAUCUUAAUUUUGUGGAAGUUUAGCAUUUUCAAUGAGCUGGAUAUGAAUGAUUAAUGAAUACAUUUAAAUGCUUCAUUUUGUCCAUGGAUCAUUAGUUAAGUCCUUUGUGUGAAGGACCUGAGAAAGGAGUCAAAAUUAUUGAGACAUUAGCCUGGAGCAAUCUAGGGGUAAAUAGUGUGCACAUUAUAAAAUAAUGUUGUGUAGCGGGUGCAGUAUCCUACUGGCUUUCUAACUGAAGAACCCCCAGGUAACGCUGCUUUCAAUUUAGGCUGAAUCUCACAUAGUAUUUAUUUGGAGGAGAAAAUGUAUUAUUUCAUCAAGCAUAGGCCUACUAAUGAUGUG